GAUGAAGAACGUAGCGAAAUGCGAUACUUGGUGUGAAUUGCAGAAUCCCGUGAACCAUCGAGUCUUUGAACGCAAGUUGCGCCCGAAGCCAUCAGGUUGAGGGCACGUCUGCCUGGGCGUCACAUAUCGUUGCUCGAUGCCUAUCGCAUUGCGAUAGGACUUAGGGCGAAUGAUGGCUUCCCGUGAGCGUUGUUGCCUCGCGGUUGGUUGAAAAUCGAGUCCUUGGUAGGGUGUGCCAUGAUAGAUGGUGGUCGAGUUAGCACGAGACCCAUCAUGUGCAUGCUCCCCAAAAUAUGGCCUCUGUGACCCACACGCGUCUUUUGACGCUCAUGACGAGACCUCAGGUCAGGCGGGGCUACCCGCUGAAUUUAAGCAUAUCAAUAAGCGGAGGA
This 392-nucleotide unclassified non-coding RNA is filed under the name soil metagenome. RNAcentral describes it as "partial contains 5.8S ribosomal RNA, internal transcribed spacer 2, and large subunit ribosomal RNA". The stretch from base 1 to 122 matches the Rfam family "5.8S ribosomal RNA", at positions 35 to 154 of the family's 154-position model. The record is from RNAcentral.